GAGCGGCGGACGGGUGAGUAAUGCCUAGGAAAUUGCCCUGAUGUGGGGGAUAACCAUUGGAAACGAUGGCUAAUACCGCAUAAUGCCUACGGGCCAAAGAGGGGGACCUUCGGGCCUCUCGCGUCAGGAUAUGCCUAGGUGGGAUUAGCUAGUUGGUGAGGUAAUGGCUCACCAAGGCGACGAUCCCUAGCUGGUCUGAGAGGAUGAUCAGCCACACUGGAACUGAGACACGGUCCAGACUCCUACGGGAGGCAGCAGUGGGGAAUAUUGCACAAUGGGCGCAAGCCUGAUGCAGCCAUGCCGCGUGUGUGAAGAAGGCCUUCGGGUUGUAAAGCACUUUCAGUCGUGAGGAAGGUGGUGUAGUUAAUAGCUGUAUUAUUUGACGUUAGCGACAGAAGAAGCACCGGCUAACUCCGUGCCAGCAGCCGCGGUAAUACGGAGGGUGCGAGCGUUAAUCGGAAUUACUGGGCGUAAAGCGCAUGCAGGUGGUUUGUUAAGUCAGAUGUGAAAGCCCGGGGCUCAACCUCGGAAUAGCAUUUGAAACUGGCAGACUAGAGUACUGUAGAGGGGGGUAGAAUUUCAGGUGUAGCGGUGAAAUGCGUAGAGAUCUGAAGGAAUACCGGUGGCGAAGGCGGCCCCCUGGACAGAUACUGACACUCAGAUGCGAAAGCGUGGGGAGCAAACAGGAUUAGAUACCCUGGUAGUCCACGCCGUAAACGAUGUCUACUUGGAGGUUGUGGCCUUGAGCCGUGGCUUUCGGAGCUAACGCGUUAAGUAGACCGCCUGGGGAGUACGGUCGCAAGAUUAAAACUCAAAUGAAUUGACGGGGGCCCGCACAAGCGGUGGAGCAUGUGGUUUAAUUCGAUGCAACGCGAAGAACCUUACCUACUCUUGACAUCCAGAGAACUUUCCAGAGAUGGAUUGGUGCCUUCGGGAACUCUGAGACAGGUGCUGCAUGGCUGUCGUCAGCUCGUGUUGUGAAAUGUUGGGUUAAGUCCCGCAACGAGCGCAACCCUUAUCCUUGUUUGCCAGCGAGUAAUGUCGGGAACUCCAGGGAGACUGCCGGUGAUAAACCGGAGGAAGGUGGGGACGACGUCAAGUCAUCAUGGCCCUUACGAGUAGGGCUACACACGUGCUACAAUGGCGCAUACAGAGGGCAGCAAGCUAGCGAUAGUGAGCGAAUCCCAAAAAGUGCGUCGUAGUCCGGAUUGGAGUCUGCAACUCGACUCCAUGAAGUCGGAAUCGCUAGUAAUCGUGGAUCAGAAUGCCACGGUGAAUACGUUCCCGGGCCUUGUACACACCGCCCGUCACACCAUGGGAGUGGG
Molecule: ribosomal RNA, 1325 nt
Filed under: Vibrio sp. 5H5
Lineage: Bacteria; Pseudomonadati; Pseudomonadota; Gammaproteobacteria; Vibrionales; Vibrionaceae
Also listed under: 1 other name
Description: bacterial SSU rRNA
Rfam family: Bacterial small subunit ribosomal RNA
Source: RNAcentral